This 253-nucleotide ribosomal RNA is filed under the name uncultured bacterium. RNAcentral's name for it is "partial 16S ribosomal RNA". It matches the Rfam family "Bacterial small subunit ribosomal RNA", at positions 524 to 776 of the family's 1533-position model. The record is from RNAcentral.
UACAGAGGGUGCUAGCGUUAAUCGGAUUUACUGGGCGUAAAGCGUGUGUAGGCGGUUCGUUAAGUCGGAUGUGAAAGCCCUGGGCUCAACCUAGGAAUUGCAUUCGAUACUGGCGGGCUAGAGUACGGUAGAGGGCGGCGGAAUUCCGGGUGUAGCGGUGAAAUGCGUAGAUAUCCGGAGGAACACCGAUGGCGAAGGCAACCGCCUGGGCCUGUACCGACGCUGAGACACGAAAGCGUGGGGAGCAAACAGG